Molecule: long non-coding RNA, 303 nt
Filed under: Cavia porcellus (domestic guinea pig)
Lineage: Eukaryota; Metazoa; Chordata; Mammalia; Rodentia; Caviidae
Description: lncRNA (ENSCPOG00000034708.1)
Source: RNAcentral
CAGAGAAUGAAGCGUGAAAGCUCUUUUAUGGAGAUUACGGAUGCUUCAUUUAUUCCCGCAAAUGGCAAACACUGCCCGGGAAAAGACCGAGCGAGCGAGCUCCUUGUCUUGGAUCCUUAGCCGUCUCCGUGUUCACAAGCUCACUUGGCUGCAGAUGGAGCAUGAGCUGAUUUAUCCCCUGGAGCUGGAGGUCCGACUGCUGCCUCAUUGAGUCAUAAAAUGCCACAGAAAACUCUGAACUUGACUGCUUUUUUUCACCCACUGGGCUUGGAUUUUCUGAUGUGACUGGUGCUGAGACCAAAC